GAGUAGAUAGCUAAAUUUUAAGUUUAUUGGUUACGUUGAUAGGAUGUUGACGAAACUUUACUUA
This 64-nucleotide transfer RNA is filed under the name Glycaspis brimblecombei. RNAcentral describes it as "tRNA-Val". The record is from RNAcentral. Lineage: Eukaryota; Metazoa; Arthropoda; Insecta; Hemiptera; Aphalaridae.